This 429-nucleotide ribosomal RNA is filed under the name uncultured bacterium. RNAcentral describes it as "bacterial SSU rRNA". It matches the Rfam family "Bacterial small subunit ribosomal RNA", at positions 917 to 1345 of the family's 1533-position model. The record is from RNAcentral.
GGGCCCGCACAAGCGGUGGAGUAUGUGGUUUAAUUCGAUGCAACGCGAAGAACCUUACCAGGGUUUGACAUCCUGCGAAUCUCUUGGAAACAGGAGAGUGCCUUCGGGAACGCAGUGACAGGUGGUGCAUGGCUGUCGUCAGCUCGUGUCGUGAGAUGUUGGGUUAAGUCCCGCAACGAGCGCAACCCACGUCUUUAGUUGCCAGCGGGUAAUGCCGGGGACUCUAGCGAGACUGCCGUUGUUAAAACGGAGGAAGGUGGGGACGACGUCAAGUCAUCAUGGCCCUUAUGGCUAGGGCUACACACGUGCUACAAUGGUCCGUACAAAGGGCAGCAAGUUCGCGAGGACAAGCAAAUCCCAUAAACCGUGGCUCAGUUCAGAUCGUAGGCUGCAACUCGCCUACGUGAAGGCGGAAUCGCUAGUAAUCGC